UACAGAGGGUGCGAGCGUUGUCCGGAAUCACUGGGCUUAAAGGGCGCGUAGGCGGGCUGACAAGUCUGGGGUGAAAUGCCGCGGCUCAACCGUGGAACUGCCUUAGAUACUGUCGGCCUCGAGGAAGGUAGGGGCAUGCGGAACUGUAGGUGGAGCGGUGAAAUGCGUUGAUAUCUACAGGAACUCCGGUGGCGAAAGCGGCGUGCUGGACCUUUUCUGACGCUGAGGCGCGAAAGCUAGGGGAGCAAACGGG
Molecule: ribosomal RNA, 253 nt
Filed under: uncultured bacterium
Lineage: Bacteria
Description: partial 16S ribosomal RNA
Rfam family: Bacterial small subunit ribosomal RNA
Source: RNAcentral